This is a non-coding RNA of Podospora conica, 90 nucleotides long. The record is from the annotation of a GenBank genome assembly. NCBI's taxonomy places the organism in Eukaryota, Fungi, Ascomycota, Sordariomycetes, Sordariales, Podosporaceae.
GGUCGUAUGGUGUAGUUGGUUAUCACGUGGGCUUCACAUCUUCACAGAUGAAAGCGUUCAAGGUCCUCAGUUCGAGCCUGAGUACGAUCA